This 88-nucleotide transfer RNA is filed under the name Alphaproteobacteria bacterium. RNAcentral describes it as "tRNA-Ser". It matches the Rfam family "tRNA". From Rfam's summary of the family: Transfer RNA (tRNA) molecules are approximately 80 nucleotides in length. The record is from RNAcentral. Lineage: Bacteria; Pseudomonadati; Pseudomonadota; Alphaproteobacteria.
GGAGGGAUGGCAGAGUGGUAAUGCAGCAGAUUGCUAAUCUGUGACCCCAGUUUGGGGUCCCAGGGUUCGAGUCCCUGUCCCUCCGCCA